AUAACAGUGUCAACACAUCCAGGCAGUCGGUCAGGAGAACUGGCUGCUUAAUUUUUUCCUUUUUUUCUGUUGUUUUAUUUUUUUUGAAAGAAAGAGAAAAAAGAGAAGUCUCAUUUCCUGGUCUGUAGUGAUGCCAGAGAAAUCCCUCUCUCUCUCUCUCUUUCUUUCUGGGUUGUGCUGAACUGAACAACAUGGUGAUCCUUCAAAUCACAGAUCACCAGGGUUACAACACUUCCACAUGGUCUAGGACAUGACCUGUCACUGACUAGGACUAGCUACCUCCCCAACCAAAGAGAGGUUUAAAGGGACAACAUCAUUAUCAGGUCUGGCGAUCACACUGCAACAACAUGUAGUUUGGAUGUGUUCUGUUACUCUGAUCUCACAGGGUGAUAAUGGGGCUGACAUGGUUGCCUCCAUCUCCCAAAUCUGCUGUCCAUCUGCAGAGACAGAGAAGGGAAGGGUUGUUUCAGGUCAUAUACAUAUUUCAGGGUGAAUUACAACACCCUGUUGGACACAGCAAAAACAGGAACACAGUACAGGGAGAGGUUAUGUAAAACCAAUGGUUGAGCCAGCGUGGGAGAGGAUUCUCCGCUUUGUCACAGAACACAAUGCCUGGUUUCAACCUUCACAUCAUUGUCUGCCUGCCACUAACCCAUAGGCCAUAUGAUUAACACGCAAUAGGUUUUAGGAGACUCUUUGUGUCACAUAUAUUAUAUAUCUACUCUCACAACUUCCUCUUUCACCACUGCUCACCUACAGCCAGAGACAGCUACAGAUUUAUCAUGAAGUAAAACCAUUACCUGAACCUAUAUUUCCCAUAAUGUAUUGUAUUGAAAUCAUACAUAAAAUCACAUAUUUACUGCGUGUCAAGCAAUAUUGGAAUUAUUUUAGAGGUAAAGAAAAGUCUAUUCUAAAAAGGCACACUGCCGGAGAGCUUUGGUCCAAUGGUUGAUACGCACUGGUGAUCAUAAAUAGGCCAAACCUGUCUGGGUAUGAAGGGAUUUAGAGUAGAUACUACCCCACUUGUUUUACACCAUGUGAUGCGUACAGUAUACCAAUACUCUCACUGUAUACCAAAACUCUCAUAGUAUACUAUAGGACAUUGCUUUUUUGUACAAUAUUUUUCAAACAAUAUAAACCAUACAUAGACAAAAGAAAAUAGACCGACACACAAAAUCGAUGACAUGUAUAGAAUUUGUGAAAUUUGUCUCUUGUACAAUAAAUUGUGUACAUUCGUUUAUACUGGAUUAAAUGUACAUUUUCGUUAACUGUUAGUCAUGUUUCUGACACUCCCUCCAUCUUGUGCCAAUAUCAGUUAUUUUCAGGUCUUGGUUCCCAAAGUUUAUAAGAAAUUGUCAGUUGGAUAGGCCUUCUGCAACAUUGAGUAUAUCUUACCUGUCAUACGAGUACCCUUUUCUGACUCAAAUAAAAUUCCCUCAAAAUUG
This is a long non-coding RNA of Salmo salar (Atlantic salmon), 1445 nucleotides long. RefSeq lists it as uncharacterized. The record is from RefSeq and is a predicted model, not a curated record. NCBI's taxonomy places the organism in Eukaryota, Metazoa, Chordata, Actinopteri, Salmoniformes, Salmonidae.